UGCUAACGUCCGUCGUGGAGAGGGAAACAACCCAGACCGCCAGCUAAGGUCCCAAAUUACUACUAAGUGGGAAACGAUGUGGGAAGGCUCAGACAGCCAGGAUGUUGGCUUAGAAGCAGCCAUCAUUUAAAGAAAGCGUAAUAGCUCACUGGUCGAGUCGGCCUGCGCGGAAGAUGUAACGGGGCUAAGUAGUAAACCGAAGCUGCGGCAAUGUGCUUUUGCACAUUGGGUAGGGGAGCGUUCUGUAAGCGGUUGAAGGUGUGUGGUAACGCAUGCUGGACGUAUCAGAAGUGCGAAUGCUGACAUGAGUAACGAUAAAGGGGGUGAAAAACCUCCUCGCCGGAAGACCAAGGGUUCCUGUCCAACGUUAAUCGGGGCAGGGUAAGUCGACCCCUAAGGCGAGGCCGAAAGGCGUAGUCGAUGGGAAACGGGUUAAUAUUCCCGUACUUCUUACAAUUGCGAUGGGGGGACGGAGAAGGCUAGGUGGGCCUGGCGACGGUUGUCCAGGUUCAAGUGCGUAGGCUUAAGAGUUAGGUAAAUCCGGCUCUUU
This 550-nucleotide ribosomal RNA is filed under the name Vibrio parahaemolyticus. Its description in RNAcentral is "partial 23S ribosomal RNA". It matches the Rfam family "Bacterial large subunit ribosomal RNA", at positions 996 to 1551 of the family's 2925-position model. The record is from RNAcentral. Lineage: Bacteria; Pseudomonadati; Pseudomonadota; Gammaproteobacteria; Vibrionales; Vibrionaceae.